This 232-nucleotide unclassified non-coding RNA is filed under the name Glomus sp. Its description in RNAcentral is "partial contains 5.8S ribosomal RNA and internal transcribed spacer 2". The stretch from base 1 to 65 matches the Rfam family "5.8S ribosomal RNA", at positions 84 to 154 of the family's 154-position model. The record is from RNAcentral. Lineage: Eukaryota; Fungi; Glomeromycota; Glomeromycetes; Glomerales; Glomeraceae.
GUGAAUCAUCGAAUCUUUGAACGCAAAUUGCACUCUCCUCGGAGAGUAUGCCUGUUUGAGGGUCAGCCUAAAAAAAAAAAUCGACAUCGUUUCUGUUUCGCGGUUACGUUAGUCGGAAAUUUGGUCAUCUUAAAACUUUUGGUUUUUUAGUUACUUAAAAUUUUCUUUUGACCCCAUGAACGUUUCUAAGAUUUAUAUCUUUACACGUUUAAGGGUAUCGAUGUUAUUAGUA